RNAcentral lists this ribosomal RNA (490 nucleotides) under uncultured bacterium. RNAcentral describes it as "bacterial SSU rRNA". It matches the Rfam family "Bacterial small subunit ribosomal RNA", at positions 426 to 907 of the family's 1533-position model. The record is from RNAcentral.
UAAAGCUCUGUUGUUGGUGAAGAAGGAUAGAGGCAGUAACUGGUCUUUAUUUGACGGUAAUCAACCAGAAAGUCACGGCUAACUACGUGCCAGCAGCCGCGGUAAUACAUAGGUGGCAAGCGUUGUCCGGAUUUAUUGGGCGUAAAGCGAGCGCAGGCGGAAUGAUAAGUCUGAUGUGAAAGCCCACGGCUCAACCGUGGAACUGCAUCGGAAACUGUCAUUCUUGAGUGCAGAAGAGGAGAGUGGAACUCCAUGUGUAGCGGUGGAAUGCGUAGAUAUAUGGAAGAACACCAGUGGCGAAGGCGGCUCUCUGGUCUGCAACUGACGCUGAGGCUCGAAAGCAUGGGUAGCGAACAGGAUUAGAUACCCUGGUAGUCCAUGCCGUAAACGAUGAGCGCUAGGUGUUGGGGACUUUCCGGUCCUCAGUGCCGCAGCAAACGCAUUAAGCGCUCCGCCUGGGGAGUACGACCGCAAGGUUGAAACUCAAAGG